GAUCCUGGCUCAGAACGAACGCUGGCGGCAGGCCUAACACAUGCAAGUCGAGCGCUCUCUUCGGAGGGAGCGGCGGACGGGUGAGUAACGCGUGGGAAUAUACCCUUCUCUACGGAAUAGCCUCGGGAAACUGAGAGUAAUACCGUAUACGCCCUUCGGGGGAAAGAUUUAUCGGAGAAGGAUUAGCCCGCGUUAGAUUAGAUAGUUGGUGGGGUAAUGGCCUACCAAGUCUACGAUCUAUAGCUGGUUUUAGAGGACGAUCAGCCACACUGGGACUGAGACACGGCCCAGACUCCUACGGGAGGCAGCAGUGGGGAAUCUUAGACAAUGGGCGCAAGCCUGAUCUAGCCAUGCCGCGUGAGUGAUGAAGGCCUUAGGGUCGUAAAGCUCUUUCGCCAGGGAUGAUAAUGACAGUACCUGGUAAAGAAACCCCGGCUAACUCCGUGCCAGCAGCCGCGGUAAUACGGAGGGGGUUAG
Molecule: ribosomal RNA, 477 nt
Filed under: uncultured bacterium
Lineage: Bacteria
Description: bacterial SSU rRNA
Rfam family: Bacterial small subunit ribosomal RNA
Source: RNAcentral